This 381-nucleotide ribosomal RNA is filed under the name Cyrtonaias tampicoensis. RNAcentral describes it as "partial 16S ribosomal RNA". It matches the Rfam family "Bacterial large subunit ribosomal RNA", at positions 1925 to 2542 of the family's 2925-position model. Lineage: Eukaryota; Metazoa; Mollusca; Bivalvia; Unionida; Unionidae. The record is from RNAcentral.
AAACGGCCGCGUUAGCGUGAGCGUGCUAAGGUAGCGUAAUAAAUAGCCUUUUAAUUGGAGGCCAGUGAAUGGCAAGACUAAGGACAUCUGUACCGCGUAUGAUAAAAAAACUUUUCAUCUGGGUGAAAAGACCCAGAUGACAAAGGAAGACGAAAAGACCCCGCGGAACUUUACCUCUUCCCGUCUAAACAUGCUCAGAAACACAAAAAACAAGAGGUUUGAUUGGGGCAAUCUCGGAACCAACCAAACUUCCGAUUUACCUUAAAUAAAAAUACAAAACUCAAUAAGGACCGAAAAGAAGUUACCCCGGGGAUAACAGCGUAAUCCAGCUUGAAAGUACACAUCGAAAGCUGGGUUUGCGACCUCGAUGUUGGCUUAAGG